This 409-nucleotide ribosomal RNA is filed under the name bacterium. RNAcentral describes it as "partial 16S ribosomal RNA". It matches the Rfam family "Bacterial small subunit ribosomal RNA", at positions 355 to 776 of the family's 1533-position model. The record is from RNAcentral.
UGGGGAAUAUUGCACAAUGGGCGAAAGCCUGAUGCAGCGACGCCGCGUGAGGGAUGACGGCCUUCGGGUUGUAAACCUCUUUCAGUAGGGACGAAGCGCAAGUGACGGUACCUGCAGAAGAAGCACCGGCUAACUACGUGCCAGCAGCCGCGGUAAUACGUAGGGUGCGAGCGUUGUUCGGAAUUACUGGGCGUAAAGAGCUCGUAGGCGGUUUGUCACGUCGUCUGUGAAAUCCUAGGGCUUAACCCUGGACGUGCAGGCGAUACGGGCUGACUUGAGUACUACAGGGGAGACUGGAAUUUCUGGUGUAGCGGUGGAAUGCACAGAUAUCAGGAAGAACACCGAUGGCGAAGGCAGGUCUCUGGGUAGUAACUGACGCUGAGGAGCGAAAGCAUGGGUAGCGAACAGG